UGUCUAACGUAACUAGUAUCGGCACACCUC
Molecule: non-coding RNA, 30 nt
Filed under: Mus musculus (house mouse)
Lineage: Eukaryota; Metazoa; Chordata; Mammalia; Rodentia; Muridae
Source: RNAcentral